GACGAACGCUGGCGGCGUGCUUAACACAUGCAAGUCGAACGAUGAAGCCCAGCUUGCUGGGUGGAAGAGUGGCGAACGGGUGAGUAACACGUGAGUAACCUGCCUAUCACUCUGGGAUAAGCGCUGGAAACGGCGUCUAAUACUGGAUACGACCUAUCACCGCAUGGUGUGUGGGUGGAAAGAUUUAUCGGUGGUAGAUGGACUCGCGGCCUAUCAGCUUGUUGGUGAGGUAAUGGCUCACCAAGGCGACGACGGGUAGCCGGCCUGAGAGGGUGACCGGCCACACUGGGACUGAGACACGGCCCAGACUCCUACGGGAGGCAGCAGUGGGGAAUAUUGCACAAUGGGCGCAAGCCUGAUGCAGCAACGCCGCGUGAGGGACGACGGCCUUCGGGUUGUAAACCUCUUUUAGUAGGGAAGAAGCGUAAGUGACGGUACCUGCAGAAAAAGCACCGGCUAACUACGUGCCAGCAGCCGCCGCGG
Molecule: ribosomal RNA, 483 nt
Filed under: uncultured bacterium
Lineage: Bacteria
Description: partial 16S ribosomal RNA
Rfam family: Bacterial small subunit ribosomal RNA
Source: RNAcentral